Molecule: ribosomal RNA, 474 nt
Filed under: uncultured bacterium
Lineage: Bacteria
Description: bacterial SSU rRNA
Rfam family: Bacterial small subunit ribosomal RNA
Source: RNAcentral
GCUGGCGGCGUGCCUACACAUGCAAGUCGAACGGAGUAAGGGUUUCGAUUCUUACUUAGUGGCGAACGGGUGAGUAACGCGUGAACAACCUGCCUUUCCGAGGGGGAUAACACCUGGAAACAAGUGCUAAUACCGCAUAAGACCACAUGUCCGCAUGGACGAGGGGUCAAAGGAGCAAUCCGCAGGGAGAGGGGUUCGCGUCCCAUUAGCUAGUUGGCGGGGCAACGGCCCACCAAGGCGACGAUGGGUAGCCGAGCUGAGAGGCUGAUCGGCCACACUGGAACUGAGACACGGUCCAGACUCCUACGGGAGGCAACAGUGGGGAAUAUUGGGCAAUGGGCGCAAGCCUGACCCAACAACGCCGCGUGAGGGAAGAAGGUCUUCGGAUUGUAAACCUCUGUCCUAUGUGACGAAGGAAGUGACGGUAGCAUAGGAGGAAGCCCCGGCUAACUACGUGCCAGCAGCCGCGGUAAU